This is a long non-coding RNA of Bubalus bubalis (water buffalo), 1257 nucleotides long. RefSeq lists it as uncharacterized. The record is from RefSeq and is a predicted model, not a curated record. The transcript is spliced from 4 exons. NCBI's taxonomy places the organism in Eukaryota, Metazoa, Chordata, Mammalia, Artiodactyla, Bovidae.
UUUCCAUAGAGACAUCAAGCAUAGAACAUAGGAAACAGAAACCAAAAGAGCGUCACUUGUCAAAUGAUUAUUCCAUGUGGAUUGCACGAGUCCUUGAGUCCCUGGAGAGGAUAAACCUUUGGGGAGGGGAAAAAAAAAAAAAAACUUACCUUAAAAAAAAAAAUCCAAACCCAACUUAGCUUCUCUCCCAGAAAGACCACCGGUUUGUGAGAGCUUACACUCCCAGCCUGCGGCGUGCUGGAAGCCAGCAAACACGGAGGCCCCGCUCAGAUGCCUCUCCCGGGAGGGCGGGAAUUAAUCAGGGAAUGUUUACUGCACGCCCGGGAGGGAGGCUGCACGGAGACUGUGCCCAGGGAAUCGUGUCAGCCUGGGGGGCCUCACCGUCCAUCGGAGGGCCGUCCGCCGCAGGAACCCUCCUCCUGGUUCUCUCCCGGAUGUCAGGCUCACCACGCAGCAAGUGAAACCGGUUUCUGUGGGGCUGAACCGCUUUCCCUGGGCCUGCGCGGGCAGCCACCUCUGGAUCGCAUUAAGCUGCAUAAAUAACAAGGCUGUUGUCAGAUUCCCCCUGGUUGAGGCCUCUGUCCUUGGACUCAGCGCAUCCUUGGAGCCCAGGCCAGUGACCCGCGUAGUAGGGGCUCAAUAAUAAUGGACUAGCUGGUGGAAGGAGAUGGAGCAGGCAGCAGUGUGAAGUUCAAAGGCUCAGCUCACACCUGAUUCUCCCAGGGAGGGCUGCCCCCAGGACCAACCCCCCCUGCUUAUAUGAGGGGGGCGACCACCACGCGCCACGCUCUGCAGAACCGCAGCCUGGAUGGGGGGCUUCAAAUCACGCCUGCUGAUAGAUCAAGCGUCCUCUCCAACAGGAUAGCCCCCUCCUUGCUCACCUCCCCAAAUAAACCUGCGUAAUGAAGACAGAUGGCCUAGCUCAGCGCCGCCGCAUGCAGGUGGGGCCGAGGCGGCCCGAGGCCACACACCCCACCCUGGAGCGGGGCCUGGGGUGUCACCAGGACGGAGACCAGCCUGCACCCCCUUCAUCACCAUCCCCCCACCGGGGGCAGCAUCUCUAUGUGAUAAGCCGGGGUUCAUCUUUGCAUGCCGCCCUUUACAAAUAUCCAGCUGGAAGCCGGUAGCCCCGACUCCCGCCUGUAGGUAUGGUAAAGUCAUUCAUAAGGACAGAAACCUCUGCCAGCUCCACUCCCCCAGAGCAGCGCAGGGGGCUGCCUCUCCUUGUCCUUUGAACGGUUCUUCUUGGACGUCCUG